RNAcentral lists this unclassified non-coding RNA (213 nucleotides) under plant metagenome. RNAcentral describes it as "partial contains small subunit ribosomal RNA, internal transcribed spacer 1, and 5.8S ribosomal RNA". The stretch from base 144 to 213 matches the Rfam family "5.8S ribosomal RNA", at positions 1 to 55 of the family's 154-position model. The record is from RNAcentral.
GUAGGUGAACCUGCGGAAGGAUCAUCAGCAAAUCUAUACUGAAUAGCGGUUUCGACCGACUAUUCUUUAACCAAUGUGAAUUGGGAGGGCAACCUCUCGAAUAUAUACUAGACCAGAGUCUGAUAAAAAAAAUUAAUAUAAACAACUUUUAACAAUGGAUCUCUUGGCUCUUGCAUCGAUGAAGAACGCAGCAUCUGACUGACUGGAAGCUUG